Molecule: ribosomal RNA, 257 nt
Filed under: uncultured bacterium
Lineage: Bacteria
Description: partial small subunit ribosomal RNA
Rfam family: Bacterial small subunit ribosomal RNA
Source: RNAcentral
AGGACGAACGCUGGCGGCGUGCUUAACACAUGCAAGUCGAACGAUGAAGCCUUUCGGGGUGGAUUAGUGGCGAACGGGUGAGUAACACGUGGGCAACCUGCCCUCCACUCUGGGAUAACUCCGGGAAACCGGGGCUAAUACUGGAUAUGACCUGGGAUCGCAUGGUCCUGGGUGGUAAAGUUUUUCGGUGGAGGAUGGGCCCGCGGCCUAUCAGCUUGGUUGGGUGGGGUGAUGGCCUACCAAGGCGGUGACGGGUA